CAAUACAUAUAAUUCGGGAUGGCGGAAUCAUCCAAAUUUUUCUUGGAGGCAGCAAGCUUCUAAUACCUCCCAACCCUUCUCCCAAAAUUUUCAAAACCCUCAGAAUUUUCAUCUCUAUCGUCCCUCAACUCAAUUUUAACAUCCUCCUCCUCCAACCCAAAGAAAUACAGCCUUUGAGGAGAAGGUGUUGACUGCCCUUCAAGGUUUGGAGGCAAACACACAACUAUUGCACUCUCA
This 237-nucleotide long non-coding RNA is filed under the name Phoenix dactylifera (date palm). Its description in RNAcentral is "long non-coding RNA (PDAC_LNC011887)". Lineage: Eukaryota; Viridiplantae; Streptophyta; Magnoliopsida; Arecales; Arecaceae. The record is from RNAcentral.